RNAcentral lists this ribosomal RNA (303 nucleotides) under uncultured bacterium. RNAcentral's name for it is "partial 16S ribosomal RNA". It matches the Rfam family "Bacterial small subunit ribosomal RNA", at positions 507 to 807 of the family's 1533-position model. The record is from RNAcentral.
AGCAGUCGCCGCGGUAAGACGAACCGUGCGAACGUUAUUCGGAAUCACUGGGCUUAAAGCGCGUGUAGGCGGAUCGGCGCGUCCGAUGCUGAAAGCCCCCGGCUCAACCGGGGAAGUGGCUCGGAUACGGCCGGUCUGGAGGAGGGUAGGGGGGCCUGGAACUUCCGGUGGAGCGGUGAAAUGCGUUGAGAUCGGAAGGAACGCCCGUGGCGAAGGCGAGGCCCUGGACCCUUACUGACGCUGAGACGCGAAAGCCAGGGGAGCGAACGGGAUUAGAGACCCCUGUAGUCCCUGUCUCUUAUU